Long non-coding RNA from Drosophila gunungcola (fruit fly), 1267 nucleotides. RefSeq lists it as uncharacterized. NCBI's taxonomy places the organism in Eukaryota, Metazoa, Arthropoda, Insecta, Diptera, Drosophilidae. The record is from RefSeq and is a predicted model, not a curated record. The transcript has 5 exons.
UCAAAACAAAACAAGGUAUUUUUUUACAUAAAAAAAACUAAGACAAUUGGACGAAAUUGGUGGCUUCGGUGUCCUCGCCACAACUCACACACCCUUCCUUAAGUGCCCCAAGGGUAAUGUUGAAGGCACACCCCAUCUCCGGCAGACCGGAGUCUAUUUCUGGUGGAUUAGGAACGGCUCAUCUCCCCGCCCAAGCAACACUUAAGGACGGACUUAGACCGUCGCCCAGAUGAGAAGUGGUCAAAGCGACAAUGGAAGAUAAAUUUUUGGACGCUUAAAAAUACAAGUGAUUGGCAAAGAUCGCCACGCACGUGAAUUACACGGCACCCAAUUGGAGGCGUUUGCCAUCCGGGUCGCCUAAUCCUGAGGAGCUCCAAGGGGAUAGAAGGGACGUGCUGAAAAGACGUUGUUGGACGCGCGGCUGGGGUGCGGAAUUAAUGUCUCUAAUUCCAGAUUAGAUUUCACAAGUUCAACGUUGGUUAUUGUCGAAGCUGCAGCCAGAAGAAGAGACCGCUAUCUGUGAAAAACAGCGCGAGUCCGCACGGAGCUAAAUGGUCCGGAGGACUUCGGUGGUCCCAGAGAUGACCACGUGGUCAGCGCGGGUAUUCGUUCCCGGAACGGACUUACCGAGGGAAUCUCCGUAUGUGGCCGUCUCGGAGGCCGUUGCUGGGGCUGCUGCUGCUGCUGAUCUGAUCGCUGCUGCAGAUCGCUGCUGCCGUUGCUACGGAUCACUGCUGCUGCCACGGAUCACUGCUGCUGCUGGUGAACGAUGUGGUCUUCACGACCAGGUUAGGUCCGCCAGCAACUAAAGCAAAACCCUGACCUACACCAAAGUCGUUCGCCAUUUUCCCUCCCGCUCUCCCAAAAUGGGUCAGUGAACGUAUCCAAGGCUAUUUAACCCAGUUAACAAGCGAACCGGGCUAAAUUUAAAUAGCUACAUCCUCUCCCGCUAUCAACAGUCGGUGUCACCACCGAAUCUUAUCGAUAGCGGGACCUGCUGAUGUAUCGGUUGUUUUGGUAUUUUCCCGACGCCUUCAACUAAAAAUGCAACAACACAUAGCAAGACAACACUAUCGUAUUUGAAUAUUUUUUUUAAAACAAACUUAUCACCAUUGCAUUAAUGCUGAAAUAGCCUUUUUGAUUCAAAUAUAAUAGAUAACAUGCUUGCCAUCUACGCACGCAAUGAAGUUAAAAAUUUUUCCAAAAAGUAUUCCCUAGAUUGAGUUAUGUGAACUGGUGUUGGUUCGCAGGAAAUGUUCUCGGAGCA